UACAUACUCCCUCCGUCCGAAAAUACUUGUCAUAGGAAUGGAUGUAUCUAGAUGUAUUUUAGUUUUAGAUACAUCCAUUUUUAUCUAUUUGUGCGACAAGUAAUUUUGGAAGGAGGGAGUAGAAG
This 125-nucleotide microRNA precursor is filed under the name Hordeum vulgare. RNAcentral describes it as "microRNA MIR1122". It matches the Rfam family "MIR1120/MIR1122 microRNA precursor family". Lineage: Eukaryota; Viridiplantae; Streptophyta; Magnoliopsida; Poales; Poaceae. The record is from RNAcentral.